RNAcentral lists this ribosomal RNA (2111 nucleotides) under human gut metagenome. Its description in RNAcentral is "bacterial LSU rRNA". It matches the Rfam family "Bacterial large subunit ribosomal RNA", at positions 20 to 2177 of the family's 2925-position model. The record is from RNAcentral.
UGUGGUGGAUGCCUUGGCGAUCACAGGCGAUGAAGGACGCGGCAGUCUGCGAAAAGCCCCGGGGAGCUGACAACGAGCUUUGAUCCGGGGAUCUCCGAAUGAGGGAACUCCAAGCUUUAGCUUGAUCCAUGCGUGAAUACAUAGCGCAUGGAGGCGAACGCGGCGAACUGAAACAUCUCAGUAGCUGCAGGAAAAGAAAUCAACCGAGAUUCCGGAAGUAGCGGCGAGCGAAACCGGAACAGCCUGAAUUCGAUAUUGAGAAGAACACUGGAAGAGUCUGGAAAGGCUCGCCAUAGUGGGUGAUAGCCCCGUACGGGACGUUCAUCUCAAGGUACUGAGGAUUCGAAAAGUAGGUCGGGGCACGUGAAACCCUGGCUGAACAUGGGGGGACCAUCCUCCAAGGCUAAAUACUCGUGAUCGACCGAUAGCGUACUAGUACUGUGAAGGAAAGGUUAAAAGAACCCCGGGAGGGGAGUGAAAUAGAUUCUGAAACCGCAUGCAUACAAACAGUAGGAGCCCUUCGGGGUGACUGCGUACCUUUUGCAUAAUGGGUCAGCGACUUAUGUUAUGUGGCAAGCCUAACCGACUAGGGGAGGCGCAGCGAAAGCGAGUCCGAACAGGGCGAUUCAGUCGCAUGGCAUAGACCCGAAACCAGAUGAGCUAACCAUGGCCAGGCUGAAGGUGUGGUAACACACACUGGAGGGCCGAACCGACUAGUGUUGCAAAAUUAGCGGAUGAACUGUGGAUAGGGGUGAAAGGCUAAACAAAUCUGGAGAUAGCUGGUUCUCCCCGAAAACUAUUGAGGUAGUGCCUUGCGCAUGAGCUUCUGGGGGUAGAGCACUGUUAUAGCUAGGGGGACAUGGCGUCUUACCAAACUAUGGCAAACUCCGAAUACCAGAAAGCUUCGCGCAGGAGACAGAGCACCGGGUGCUAACGUCCGGACUCAAAAGGGAAUCAACCCAGACCGCCAGCUAAGGUCCCUAAUAUCAGCUAAGUGGAAAACGAAGUGGAAAGGCUAAAACAGUCAGGAAGUUGGCUUAGAAGCAGCCAUCCUUCAAAGAAAGCGUAAUAGCUCACUGAUCGAGUCCUUCCGCGCGGAAGAUGUAACGGGGCUAAGUUGAUAACCGAAGCUGCGGAUUCACACUUUGAGUGUGAGUGGUAGGGGAGCGUUCUGUAAGCCUGUGAAGGUGGAUCGUAAGGUCUGCUGGAGGUAUCAGAAGUGCGAAUGCUGACAUGAGUAACGAUAAAGCGGGUGAAAAGCCCGCUCGCCGCAAACCCAAGGUUUCCUGCUCUACGUUAAUCGGAGCAGGGUGAGUCGGUUCCUAAGGCCAGGCUGAGAAGCGUAGCUGAUGGAAAUCAGGUUAAUAUUCCUGAACCGGCGUUGAAUGCGAUGGGGUGACGGAGCAGCCAGAGUGGACCGGGUGUUGGAUGUCCCGGCUUCCGAGCGAUGGGUGCCUGCAGGCAAAUCCGCAGGCGUAUACCCAGGACGAAGGAUCGGGUCUUCUUUUGAAGACGAAGCCACUGGAAGCGCUUCCAGGAAAAACCUCUAAGCUUCAGUUCAACGGCGACCGUACCGUAAACCGACACAGGUGGGUGAGCUGAAUAUGCUCAGGCGCUUGAGAGAACUCGGGAGAAGGAACUCGGCAAAUUGACACCGUAACUUCGGAAGAAGGUGUGCCUUUGUAGCUUAACGGGAGAGAAACCCGAAGUGCGAAGAGGUCUCAGAGAAUCGGUGGCUGUAACUGUUUACUAAAAACACAGCGCUCUGCAAAGAUGAAAGUCGACGUAUAGGGCGUGAUGCCUGCCCGGUGCUGGAAGAUUAAUUGAUGGGGUGCAAGCUCCUGAUCGAAGUCCCAGUAAACGGCGGCCGUAACUAUAACGGUCCUAAGGUAGCGAAAUUCCUUGUCGGGCAAGUUCCGACCUGCACGAAUGGCAUAAUAAUGGCCACACUGUCUCCUCCCGAGACUCAGUGAAAUUGAAAUGUUUGUGAUGAUGCAAUCUCCCCGCGGCUAGACGGAAAGACCCCAUGAACCUUAACUGUAGCUUUGCAUUGGACUUUGAACCGAUCUGUGUAGGAUAGGCGGGAGGCUUUGAAGAAUGGACGCCAGUCA